GGGGGUACACGAGUGGCGCACGGGUGAGUAACGCGUAUGCAACCUGCCCUGUACAGGGGGAUAGCCCGGAGAAAUCCGGAUUAAUACCCCAUAGUUUUUAUGAGUCGCAUGGCUUAUAAAAUAAAGUUUCGGCGGUACAGGAUGGGCAUGCGUGGCAUUAGCUAGUUGGUAAGGUAACGGCUUACCAAGGCGACGAUGCCUAGGGGUUCUGAGAGGAUGAUCCCCCACACUGGGACUGAGACACGGCCCAGACUCCUACGGGAGGCAGCAGUGAGGAAUAUUGGUCAAUGGGCGAGAGCCUGAACCAGCCAUCCCGCGUGCAGGAUGACGGCCCUACGGGUUGUAAACUGCUUUUAUGUACCAAGAAUAGGCGCUACGUGUAGUGUUAUGACGGUAGUACAUGAAUAAGCAUCGGCUAACUCCGUGCCAGCAGCCGCGGUAAUACGGAGGAUGCAAGCGUUAUCCGGAUUCAUUGGGUUUAAAGGGUGCGUAGGCGGUCUGAUAAGUCAGUGGUGAAAUGCUGCAGCUCAACUGUAGAACUGCCAUUGAAACUGUCAGACUUGAGUGCGCCUGAGGUAGGCGGAAUGAGUAGUGUAGCGGUGAAAUGCUUAGAUAUUACUCAGAACACCGAUUGCGAAGGCAGCUUACUAAAGCGUAACUGACGCUGAUGCACGAAAGCGUGGGGAGCGAACAGGAUUAGAUACCCUGGUAGUCCACGCCGUAAACGAUGAUAACUCGCUGUUGGCGAUACACAGUCAGCGGCUUAGCGAAAGCAUUAAGUUAUCCACCUGGGGAGUACGAUCGCAAGGUUGAAACUCAAAGGAAUUGACGGGGGCCCGCACAAGCGGAGGAACAUGUGGUUUAAUUCGAUGAUACGCGAGGAACCUUACCUGGGCUUAAA
RNAcentral lists this ribosomal RNA (901 nucleotides) under Prolixibacter bellariivorans. RNAcentral's name for it is "bacterial SSU rRNA". It matches the Rfam family "Bacterial small subunit ribosomal RNA", at positions 83 to 985 of the family's 1533-position model. The record is from RNAcentral. Lineage: Bacteria; Pseudomonadati; Bacteroidota; Bacteroidia; Marinilabiliales; Prolixibacteraceae.